GCCUAGCCCUAAAUCCUGAUGCUUACCGUACCAAAGCAUCCGCCUGGGAACUACGAGCACAAACGCUUAAAACUCUAAGGACUUGGCGGUGUCCCAAACCCACCUAGAGGAGCCUGUUCUAUAAUCGAUAACCCACGAUUCACCCGACCACCUCUUGCCAGAGCAGCCUACAUACCGCCGUCGCCAGCUCACCUCCCCUGAGAGCCCAACAGUGAGCACAAUAGCCCAACCCACU
This 235-nucleotide ribosomal RNA is filed under the name Stercorarius maccormicki (South polar skua). RNAcentral describes it as "partial 12S ribosomal RNA". Lineage: Eukaryota; Metazoa; Chordata; Aves; Charadriiformes; Stercorariidae. The record is from RNAcentral.